Molecule: ribosomal RNA, 991 nt
Filed under: Syntrophobacterales bacterium Delta_01
Lineage: Bacteria; Pseudomonadati; Thermodesulfobacteriota; Syntrophobacteria; Syntrophobacterales
Description: bacterial SSU rRNA
Rfam family: Bacterial small subunit ribosomal RNA
Source: RNAcentral
AGAGUUUGAUCCUGGCUCAGAAUAAACGCUGGCGGCGUGCCUAACACAUGCAAGUCGAACGAGAAAGCCCGGCUUCGGUUGGGCGAGUAAAGUGGCGCACGGGUGAGUAACGCGUAGGCAACCUACCCCUGUGUUCGGGAUAACAGAGCGAAAGCGCUGCUAAUACCGGAUGUGGCGGUGAGGCGAUGGUCUCAUCGUCAAAGUCGGCCUCUCGAAGAAGCUGACGCGCGGGGAUGGGCCUGCGUCCUAUCAGCUAGUUGGUAGGGUAACGGCCUACCAAGGCGACGACGGGUAGCUGGUCUGAGAGGAUGAUCAGCCACACUGGCACUGGAAUACGGGCCAGACUCCUACGGGAGGCAGCAGUGAGGAAUUUUGCGCAAUGGCCGCAAGGCUGACGCAGCAACGCCGCGUGGGUGAAGAAGGCCUUCGGGUCGUAAAGCCCUGUCAGGUGGGAAGAACGAGCGGGUGGCGAAUACCCUCCCGCAGUGACGGUACCACCAGAGGAAGCACCGGCUAACUCCGUGCCAGCAGCCGCGGUAAUACGGAGGGUGCGAGCGUUAUUCGGAAUUACUGGGCGUAAAGCGCGUGCAGGCGGGUGGACAAGUCUGAUGUGAAAGCCCCGGGCUCAACCUGGGAAGAGCAUUGGAAACUGUUCAUCUUGAGUGUUGGAGAGGAAGGGGGAAUUCCCGGUGUAGAGGUGAAAUUCGUAGAGAUCGGGAGGAAUACCAGUGGCGAAGGCGCCCUUCUGGACGACAACUGACGCUGAGACGCGAAAGCGUGGGGAGCAAACAGGAUUAGAUACCCUGGUAGUCCACGCUGUAAACGAUGAGCACUAGGUGUAGCGGGUACUCAUUCCUGCUGUGCCGCAGCUAACGCGUUAAGUGCUCCGCCUGGGGACUACGGUCGCAAGACUAAAACUCAAAGGAAUUGACGGGGGCCCGCACAAGCGGUGGAGUAUGUGGUUUAAUUCGACGCAACGCGAAGAACCUUA